AACGUGGGUAACCUGCCUUAUAGUGGGGGAUAGCCUUUCGAAAGGAAGAUUAAUACCGCAUAAGAUUGUAGUAUCGCAUGAUAUAGCAAUUAAAGGAGCAAUCCGCUAUAAGAUGGACCCGCGUCGCAUUAGCUAGUUGGUGAGGUAAUGGCUCACCAAGGCGACGAUGCGUAGCCGACCUGAGAGGGUGAUCGGCCACAUUGGGACUGAGACACGGCCCAGACUCCUACGGGAGGCAGCAAUG
RNAcentral lists this ribosomal RNA (244 nucleotides) under uncultured bacterium. RNAcentral's name for it is "partial 16S ribosomal RNA". It matches the Rfam family "Bacterial small subunit ribosomal RNA", at positions 114 to 356 of the family's 1533-position model. The record is from RNAcentral.